CCCCAACCUCUCAUAGCCCAUUUGGAACUGAGUAGAUUCUAGUCUUUUGCAAAGAAAGGAACCCAGGCUGUUUAGAAUGUGAAGUCCAAAGAGGAGAAGAAGCAGAGUAGCCAGCAGAGACCCCCCCCCGCCCCCAAGCCAUAGAAGCCAGGUGAGGCUCGGAAGAGCCUGCUGGACCCCACUCCUCAUCUACUUUGUUAGGUCUGGUCGGCUUUUUUUUUUGUUUUGAGGAAGAUUAGACCUGAGCUAACUGCUGCCAAUCCUCCUCCUUUUGCUGAGGAAGACUGGCCCUGAGCUAACAUCCAUGCUCAUCUUCCUCUACUUUAUACGUGGGAUGCCUACCACAGCAUGGCUUGCCAAGCAGUGCCAUGUCUGCACCUGGGAUCCAGGCCGGUGAACCCUGGGCCACCAAAGUGGAAUGUGUGCACUUAACUGCUGUGCCACCUGGCCUGUGGUUGGCCUUUUUUAUUUAACCAGUUAGCCUCUUUUUGUAGCCUGCUGGAGCUGUAGAUACAGGCGUCCAGGAGGAGCACGGGCCGGGGGAGGAUGAGGACAGGAGAGGGAGUCCCACCAUCUCCCUGGGGUGGGCCGCCAGCCCACCAGUGACUUCUCUUUGUGUCUCCGGAAUGAGAGCUUCAGGUCUGAGAGGGGCUCACAGGAGAAGUCAGGAUGCCUGGAGUUUCCAAGUUUUCUGGUCCGGGGUCCUCUUGACCCGGGUGUGGUGCACCCAAGGGGUGACCCUCUGUGCUUUCAGGACACAGCGAGUGGUUAGAACGACCAAAUGAGGCCCAUGCCACUUCGGAGGAAGCUGGUCUUGUGGACGUCCCCCAGCGACAUCAGGAGCUCAUCCCUUUGUAUGGAUUCCCCACAAUUUGUUUAUCCACUCCCCGGUGGAUGGGCACCUAGGUUGUUCCAGUUUUGAGAAACUAGGAGCACCCUGGUCUGAGCACUGUCCCCUGGGGUCUGGGACCACUUCUCCCUGUUCUCCCUGUUCUGGGCCUCAAUCUUUGCCCCGCACGUAGCCACCAGGAUUCCAUUAAAACCUAAACCCCAUCUUGUCCCUUCUCUUCUCUGUCUGAGCAGAGCAAAGGCCAGAGUCCUCAGCACACUCACAAAUUCACAUGCCCUUCCCCAUUAGCUUUGUGCCCUCGCCUCCCACGCUCUCCCCACACGCAUUCUCCGCCAGCCGCUCUGUGUUGCAGCUGUUUGUCCCUUGACCAUGCCGGGCCACGCCCCAGCUCAGGGUGGACCCCAGAUCCGGCCUCUGACCCAGAUCUGCGCUCGGCUCCUUCUCUCACCUCUGUGAAGGAAUAAGCUCCAGCAUCUCCUCGGACAGCCCUCCUGGACCUCCCAGCCGUGCACAGCCCUGCUCAGUCCCCAGAGGCCGCCCGUGUCCUCUCCCGUGGAUGCUGGUCGCCAGGCUCCCAGGACCUCUCCCAAAACCAUCCCCCGGCACCUAGUUGCUCCUUCCUCUGUGUUCCCCACUGUUAAUACUCCCAUUAAGGCUUGCUUGUCACACUGUGAAAAGACAAACUUCAAAGCUGCCUUCAGGGGCUGGCCCGGUGGUGCAGCGGUUAAGUUCGCACAAUCGGCUUCGGCGGCCCAGGGUACGCCAGUUCAGAUUCUGGGUGCAGACAUGGCACCACUUGGCAAGCCAUGCUGUGGUAGGCAUCCCACACAUAAAGUGGAGGAAGAUGGGCAUGGGUGUUAGCUCAGGGCCAGUCUUCCUCAAAAAAAAAAAAAGCUGCCUUCCAGGCAAUCAGGCCUGUGGAAUCCACGCACAUUCUUCAGAGGCUCAGACGUCAACGUUCUGGGCCUCUGUCUCCGUUCUCCCUCCCGUGUCUCCACCUGGGGCGGAUCACUUUGUCCGCACGAACUCGCUUCUUCCUCCAAGGAGCCAUGAUGAUAAGUCUGACCCUGCCGUGUGGGGGGGACUCAGGGAUGCAAGGCACAUAAAUUCCCUGGCACGGAGAAGAAACUCGAUAAAAGUUGGUUCCCUCCAUGCCGGGGGACGUCCCGAUGUGUCAGGCCUGGGGUUUCCGCUUGGGGAAUUUGUGGUCCAGUAAAGAGAGAAGAGUAAUGCUGUCGGGGCCAGAAGGGAGAGGAAAAUGGGGAGUCCCGACAGCCGGCUGCUUCCUGCUUGGGGCGGAAAGGUUUGCAAGCCUCAGUGGUUGCCUGAAUUACGUCGCUGGACCACACGAAGUCGCUGAGAUUCAACCCCCUUUUGAUCCACACAAAU
This is a long non-coding RNA of Equus caballus (horse), 2239 nucleotides long. The record is from Ensembl. NCBI's taxonomy places the organism in Eukaryota, Metazoa, Chordata, Mammalia, Perissodactyla, Equidae.